AUUGAACGCUGGCGGCAGGCCUAACACAUGCAAGUCGAGCGGAUGAAGGGAGCUUGCUCCUGGAUUCAGCGGCGGACGGGUGAGUAAUGCCUAGGAAUCUGCCUGGUAGUGGGGGAUAACGUCCGGAAACGGGCGCUAAUACCGCAUACGUCCUGAGGGAGAAAGUGGGGGAUCUUCGGACCUCACGCUAUCAGAUGAGCCUAGGUCGGAUUAGCUAGUUGGUGGGGUAAAGGCCUACCAAGGCGACGAUGCGUAACUGGUCUGAGAGGAUGAUCAGUCACACUGGAACUGAGACACGGUCCAGACUCCUACGGGAGGCAGCAGUGGGGAAUCUUGGACAAUGGGCGAAAGCCUGAUCCAGCCAUGCCGCGUGUGUGAAGAAGGUCUUCGGAUUGUAAAGCACUUUAAGUUGGGAGGAAGGGCAGUAAGUUAAUACCUUGCUGUUUUGACGUUACCAACAGAAUAAGCACCGGCUAACUUCGUG
This 484-nucleotide ribosomal RNA is filed under the name uncultured bacterium. Its description in RNAcentral is "partial 16S ribosomal RNA". It matches the Rfam family "Bacterial small subunit ribosomal RNA", at positions 30 to 507 of the family's 1533-position model. The record is from RNAcentral.